RNAcentral lists this ribosomal RNA (751 nucleotides) under Salmonella enterica. Its description in RNAcentral is "partial 23S ribosomal RNA". It matches the Rfam family "Bacterial large subunit ribosomal RNA", at positions 2053 to 2803 of the family's 2925-position model. RNAcentral also lists the same sequence under 1 other name. The record is from RNAcentral. Lineage: Bacteria; Pseudomonadati; Pseudomonadota; Gammaproteobacteria; Enterobacterales; Enterobacteriaceae.
GUGAAGAUGCAGUGUACCCGCGGCAAGACGGAAAGACCCCGUGAACCUUUACUAUAGCUUGACACUGAACAUUGAGCCUUGAUGUGUAGGAUAGGUGGGAGGCUUUGAAGCGUGGACGCCAGUCUGCGUGGAGCCGACCUUGAAAUACCACCCUUUAAUGUUUGAUGUUCUAACGUGGACCCGUGAUCCGGGUUGCGGACAGUGUCUGGUGGGUAGUUUGACUGGGGCGGUCUCCUCCUAAAGAGUAACGGAGGAGCACGAAGGUUGGCUAAUCCUGGUCGGACAUCAGGAGGUUAGUGCAAUGGCAUAAGCCAGCUUGACUGCGAGCGUGACGGCGCGAGCAGGUGCGAAAGCAGGUCAUAGUGAUCCGGUGGUUCUGAAUGGAAGGGCCAUCGCUCAACGGAUAAAAGGUACUCCGGGGAUAACAGGCUGAUACCGCCCAAGAGUUCAUAUCGACGGCGGUGUUUGGCACCUCGAUGUCGGCUCAUCACAUCCUGGGGCUGAAGUAGGUCCCAAGGGUAUGGCUGUUCGCCAUUUAAAGUGGUACGCGAGCUGGGUUUAGAACGUCGUGAGACAGUUCGGUCCCUAUCUGCCGUGGGCGCUGGAGAACUGAGGGGGGCUGCUCCUAGUACGAGAGGACCGGAGUGGACGCAUCACUGGUGUUCGGGUUGUCAUGCCAAUGGCACUGCCCGGUAGCUAAAUGCGGAAGAGAUAAGUGCUGAAAGCAUCUAAGCACGAAACUUGCCCCGAG